UACGUGGGGGGCAAGCGUUGUUCGGAAUUACUGGGCGUAAAGGGCGUGUAGGCGGCUCGCCGAGUCGGAUGUGAAAACUCUGGGCUCAACCCAGAGCCUGCAUUCGAAACUGACGAGCUCGAGUUCUGGAGGGGAAAGCGGAAUUCCUGGUGUAGCGGUGAAAUGCGUAGAUAUCAGGAGGAACACCGGUGGCGAAGGCGGCUUUCUGGACAGAAACUGACGCUGAUGCGCGAAAGCUAGGGGAGCAAACAGG
RNAcentral lists this ribosomal RNA (253 nucleotides) under uncultured bacterium. Its description in RNAcentral is "partial 16S ribosomal RNA". It matches the Rfam family "Bacterial small subunit ribosomal RNA", at positions 524 to 776 of the family's 1533-position model. The record is from RNAcentral.